CCGGAUCCAGAGUUUGAUCAUGGCUCAGGACGAACGCUGGCGGCGUGCCUAAUACAUGCAAGUCGAGCGGACAGAUGGGAGCUUGCUCCCUGAUGUCAGCGGCGGACGGGUGAGUAACACGUGGGUAACCUGCCUGUAAGACUGGGAUAACUCCGGGAAACCGGGGCUAAUACCGGAUGGUUGUUUGAACCGCAUGGUUCAGACAUAAAAGGUGGCUUCGACUACCACUUACAGAUGGACCCGCGGCGCAUUAGCUAGUUGGUGAGGUAACGGCUCACCAAGGCAACGAUGCGUAGCCGACCUGAGAGGGUGAUCGGCCACACUGGGACUGAGACACGGCCCAGACUCCUACGGGAGGCAGCAGUAGGGAAUCUUCCGCAAUGGACGAAAGUCUGACGGAGCAACGCCGCGUGAGUGAUGAAAGUUUUCGGGUCGUAAAGCUCUGUUGUUAGGGAAGAACAAGUGCCGUUCAAAUUGGGCGGCACCUUGACGGUACCUAACCAGAAAGCCACGGCUAACUACGUGCCAGCAGCCGCGGUAAUACGUAGGUGGCAAGCGUUGUCCGGAAUUAUUGGGCGUAAAGGACUCGCAGGCGGUUUCUUAAGUCUGAUGUGAAAGCCCCCGGCUCAACCGGGGAGGGUCAUUGGAAACUGGGGAACUUGAGUGCAGAAGAGGAGAGUGGAAUUCCACGUGUAGCGGUGAAAUGCGUAGAGAUGUGGAGGAACACCAGUGGCGAAGGCGACUCUCUGGUCUGUAACUGACGCUGAGGAGCGAAAGCGUGGGGAGCGAACAGGAUUAGAUACCCUGGUAGUCCACGCCGUAAACGAUGAGUGCUAAGUGUUAGGGGGUUUCCGCCCCUUAGUGCUGCAGCUAACGCAUUAAGCACUCCGCCUGGGGAGUACGGUCGCAAGACUGAAACUCAAAGGAAUUGACGGGGGCCCGCACAAGCGGUGGAGCACGUGGUUUAAUUCGAAGCAACGCGAAGAACCUUACCAGGUCUUGACAUCCUCUGACAAUCCUAGAGAUAGGACGUCUCCUUCGGGGGCAGAGUGACAGGUGGUGCAUGGUUGUCGUCAGCUCGUGUCGUGAGAUGUUGGGUUAAGUCCCGCAACGAGCGCAACCCUUGAUCUUAGUUGCCAGCAUUCAGUUGGGCACUCUAAGGUGACUGCCGGUGACAAACCGGAGGAAGGUGGGGAUGACGUCAAAUCAUCAUGCCCCUUAUGACCUGGGCUACACACGUGCUACAAUGGACAGAACAAAGGGCAGCGAAACCGCGAGGUUGAGCCAAUCCCACAAAUCUGUUCUCAGUUCGGAUCGCAGUCUGCAACUCGACUGCGUGAAGCUGGAAUCGCUAGUAAUCGCGGAUCAGCAUGCCGCGGUGAAUACGUUCCCGGGCCUUGUACACACCGCCCGUCACACCACGAGAGUUUGUAACACCCGAAGUCGGUGAGGUAACCUUUAUGGAGCCA
RNAcentral lists this ribosomal RNA (1469 nucleotides) under Bacillus sp. B2(XC). RNAcentral describes it as "bacterial SSU rRNA". It matches the Rfam family "Bacterial small subunit ribosomal RNA". The record is from RNAcentral. Lineage: Bacteria; Bacillati; Bacillota; Bacilli; Caryophanales; Bacillaceae.